UCUGGAGCAGAGCCCAACUGGGGAAGUACCUCCACCUUACAGAAAACUGCAGCCAAGUAACACUAGACCCUACUAAUAGUGUUGUGUUCCUGCCGGUGAGUAAGGUUGCCAGAGCUCAACGAGGGUUCGGAAUGUUAGGGUCGGCAACGCGCAUGUAACACCUCUGGAGUUGCAGGCGUCCAUAGGCUACGGUGACUGCUUGCUAUCAGACGGGUCGUAUGCUUGUUUACCACCGACUUAGUAUAAAAA
Long non-coding RNA from Cydia splendana, 249 nucleotides. RefSeq lists it as uncharacterized. The record is from RefSeq and is a predicted model, not a curated record. NCBI's taxonomy places the organism in Eukaryota, Metazoa, Arthropoda, Insecta, Lepidoptera, Tortricidae. The transcript has 2 exons.